GCAAUUCUCCUGCCUCAGCCUCCUGAGUAGCUGGAAUUACAGAGAUGGGGUCUAGCUGUGUUGCCCAGGCUGAAGUCCAGUGGCUUUUCACAGGCACAGUCAUACCACACUGAAUCUUGAACUCCUGAGAUCAAGCAAUCCUCCUGCCUCAGCUUCCAAAGUAGCUGGAAUUACAAGUGCUGGCCACUCUGCCUGGUUACAAUUCUUUUUAUUGCUGAAUAAUAUUCCAUUAUGUGGAUAUCCUAUACUUUGCUUAUCUAUUCAUCAGUUGAUGGACAUUUGGGUUGUUUCUACUGUUUGGCUAUUAUUAACACUGCUGUGAACAUG
Molecule: long non-coding RNA, 327 nt
Filed under: Homo sapiens (human)
Lineage: Eukaryota; Metazoa; Chordata; Mammalia; Primates; Hominidae
Description: HSALNT0407826
Source: RNAcentral